Molecule: ribosomal RNA, 491 nt
Filed under: uncultured bacterium
Lineage: Bacteria
Description: partial 16S ribosomal RNA
Rfam family: Bacterial small subunit ribosomal RNA
Source: RNAcentral
AGUGAACGCUGGCGGUAGGCCUAACACAUGCAAGUCGAACGGCAGCACAGUAAGAGCUUGCUCUUACGGGUGGCGAGUGGCGGACGGGUGAGGAAUACAUCGGAAUCUACUUUUUCGUGGGGGAUAACGUAGGGAAACUUACGCUAAUACCGCAUACGACCUACGGGUGAAAGCAGGGGAUCUUCGGACCUUGCGCGAUUGAAUGAGCCGAUGUCGGAUUAGCUAGUUGGCGGGGUAAAGGCCCACCAAGGCGACGAUCCGUAGCUGGUCUGAGAGGAUGAUCAGCCACACUGGAACUGAGACACGGUCCAGACUCCACGGGAGGCAGCAGUGGGGAAUCUUGGACACUGGGCGCAAGCCUGCUCCAGCCCUACCGCGUGGGUGAAGAAGGCCUUCGGGUUGUAAAGCCCUUUUGUUGGGAAAGAAAAGCAGCAGGUUAAUACCCCGCUGUUCUGACGGUACCCAACGAAUCAGCACCGGCUCACUUCGUG